Molecule: ribosomal RNA, 313 nt
Filed under: uncultured bacterium
Lineage: Bacteria
Description: bacterial SSU rRNA
Rfam family: Bacterial small subunit ribosomal RNA
Source: RNAcentral
AAUCAACGCUGGCGGCGUGCCUAACACAUGCAAGUCGCACGAGAAAGGGACUUCGGUCCUGAGUAAAGUGGCGCACGGGUGAGUAACACGUGACUAAUCUACCCUCGAGUGGGGAAUAACCUAGGGAAACCUGGGCUAAUACCCCAUAACACUUACGUAGUCAAAGACAGCAAUAGCGCUUGGGGAGGGAGGUCGCGGCAGAUUAGCUAGUUGGGUGGGGUAAGUGGCCCACCCAAGGCGANGAUCUGUAUCCGGCCUGAGAGGGGCGCACGGACACACUGGAACUGAAACACGGUCCAGACUCCUACCGGGA